GUGACUAGAGUUCGGUAGAGGUGAGUGGAAUUCUCGGUGUAGCGGUGGAAUGCGCAGAUAUCGAGAGGAACACCAUUAGCGAAGGCGGCUCACUGGGCCGAUACUGACGCUGAGGGGCGAAAGCGUGGGGAGCAAACAGGAUUAGAAACCCUGGUAGUCCACGCCGUAAACGAUGAACACUAGGUGUAGCGGACUGAUUCAUGUCUGCUGUGCCGUAGCUAACGCAUUAAGUGUUCCGCCUGGGGAGUACGGCCGCAAGGCUAAAACUCAAAGGAAUUGACGGGGCCCCGCACAAGCGGCGGAGCAUGCGGCUUAAUUCGAUGCAACCCGAAGAACCUUACCUGGGUUUGACAUCAUGGGUCUAGCUGUGGAAACACAGUGUGCUUACGCGCCCAUGACAGGUGGUGCAUGGCUGUCGUCAGCUCGUGUCGUGAGAUGUUGGGUUAAGUCCCGCAACGAGCGCAACCCUUGUCCUAUGUUGCCAGCACGUAAUGGUGGGGACUCAUGGGAGACUGCCGGGGACAACUCGGAGGAAGGCGAGGACGAUGUCAAGUCAUCAUGCCCCUUAUAUCCAGGGCUGCACGCAUGCUACAAUGGGCGAUACAAUGGGCUGCGAUCCCGCGAGGGUCAGCUAAUCCCGUAAAGUCGUCCUCAGUUCGGAUUGGAGUCUGCAACUCGACUCCAUGAAGCCGGAGUCGCUAGUAAUCGUGGAUCAGCAAAGCCACGGUGAAUACGUUCUCGGGGCUUGUACACACCGCCCGUCACAUCACGGAAGUCGGUAACACCCGAAGUCAGUGGCCUAACCCUUGUGGAAGGAGCUGCCGAAGGUGGGAUUGGUGACUGGGAUGAAGUCGUAACAAGGUAACC
RNAcentral lists this ribosomal RNA (867 nucleotides) under uncultured Actinomycetes bacterium. RNAcentral's name for it is "bacterial SSU rRNA". It matches the Rfam family "Bacterial small subunit ribosomal RNA", at positions 637 to 1501 of the family's 1533-position model. Lineage: Bacteria; Bacillati; Actinomycetota; Actinomycetes. The record is from RNAcentral.